RNAcentral lists this long non-coding RNA (207 nucleotides) under Elaeis guineensis (African oil palm). RNAcentral's name for it is "long non-coding RNA (EGUI_LNC006824)". Lineage: Eukaryota; Viridiplantae; Streptophyta; Magnoliopsida; Arecales; Arecaceae. The record is from RNAcentral.
UCAACUUAAUUACCAAAAAGAAUACGAUAAUAAUUGCCCAUGCAUGCAGCCUCUUUCCAAGACUAUGUGUAGAGUUGGGUGCAAUUCUAAGAUUAUACAUGUGAACCAAAAAUAUUUAAAAAAAAAAAGAAUAUUAUUUGGUUGUUCUUAAUUUCAAAUGCUAAUUUGUUUGCAUAGCCAAGAUCUUAAAUUGGACCAAUAUUCCGG